AAGGGACGACAAGACCCUAAAAGCUUUAUUUUUAAGAUAAGUUUGAGUUUAAUACAGAAUAUUGAGUUUAACUGGGGUAGUUUUUUUGUAAAAUCUGAGGUUGUAAAAGGCAUGUAAAGUGGGGUUAGGUCCUUUAGAUAAGGAUAAUUUGAGUGAGUUACUUUAGGGAUAACAGCGUAAUAGUCCUAGGGAGAUCGUAUCUAUGGGAUUGAUUGCGACCUCGAUGUUGAAUUAAAAGAUCAGUGUAGAGCAGAAGCUACAGGGUGAGGGUUUGUUCAACCUUUAAAUUUUUACAUGAUUUGAGUUCAAAUCGGUUUAAGCCAGAUUGGUUUCUAUCUUU
This 340-nucleotide non-coding RNA is filed under the name Natronolimnobius baerhuensis. RNAcentral describes it as "Bacterial large subunit ribosomal RNA". It matches the Rfam family "Bacterial large subunit ribosomal RNA", at positions 2075 to 2645 of the family's 2925-position model. The record is from Rfam by way of RNAcentral. Lineage: Archaea; Methanobacteriati; Methanobacteriota; Halobacteria; Halobacteriales; Natrialbaceae.